GGCGGACGGGUGAGUAAUGUCUGGGAAACUGCCUGAUGGAGGGGGAUAACUACUGGAAACGGUAGCUAAUACCGCAUAACGUCGCAAGACCAAAGAGGGGACCUUCGGGCCUCUUGCCAUCGGAUGUGCCCAGAUGGGAUUAGCUAGUAGGUGGGGUAACGACUCACCUAGGCGACGAUCCCUAGCUGGUCUGAGAGGAUGACCAGCCACACUGGAACUGAGACACGGUCCAG
Molecule: ribosomal RNA, 233 nt
Filed under: uncultured bacterium
Lineage: Bacteria
Description: partial 16S ribosomal RNA
Rfam family: Bacterial small subunit ribosomal RNA
Source: RNAcentral